Molecule: ribosomal RNA, 452 nt
Filed under: uncultured bacterium
Lineage: Bacteria
Description: bacterial SSU rRNA
Rfam family: Bacterial small subunit ribosomal RNA
Source: RNAcentral
AACGAACGCUGGCGGCAGGCUUAACACAUGCAAGUCGAACGGGUGCAGCAAUGCAUCAGUGGCAGACGGGUGAGUAACACGUGGGAACCUUCCUAGGGGUACGGAACAACUCAGGGAAACUUGAGCUAAUACCGUAUACGUCCGUGAGGAGAAAGAUUUAUCGCCCUUAGACGGGCCCGUGUCGGAUUAGCUAGUUGGUGGGGUAACGGCCUACCAAGGCGACGAUCCGUAGCUGAUCUUAGAGGAUGAUCAGCCACACUGGGACUGAGACACGGCCCAGACUCCUACGGGAGGCAGCAGUGGGGAAUCUUGGACAAUGGGCGCAAGCCUGAUCCAGCCAUGCCGCGUGAGUGAAGAAGGUCUUCGGAUUGUAAAGCUCUUUUGCCAGGGACGAUAAUGACGGUACCUGGAGAAUAAGCCCCGGCAAACUUCGUGCCAGCAGCCGCGGUAAU